GAAUUUUAAGUAUAAUUUUUUGUAUAACUAAUUGUUGAUUAGUAGGUUAAAGAUUCU
RNAcentral lists this transfer RNA (57 nucleotides) under Brugia timori. RNAcentral describes it as "tRNA-Asn". Lineage: Eukaryota; Metazoa; Nematoda; Chromadorea; Rhabditida; Onchocercidae. The record is from RNAcentral.